UACGUAGGGGGCAAGCGUUAUCCGGAUUUACUGGGUGUAAAGGGAGCGCAGGCGGCCGCGCAAGUCAGAAGUGAAACCCCCCGGCUCAACCGGGGGCAUGCUUUUGAAACUGCGUGGCUGGAGUGCUGGAGGGGUAAGCGGAAUUCCUGGUGUAGCGGUGAAAUGCGUAGAUAUCAGGAAGAACACCGGUGGCGAAGGCGGCUUACUGGACAGCAACUGACGCUGAGGCUCGAAGGCGUGGGGAGCAAAC
Molecule: ribosomal RNA, 250 nt
Filed under: uncultured prokaryote
Description: partial 16S ribosomal RNA
Rfam family: Bacterial small subunit ribosomal RNA
Source: RNAcentral